Molecule: transfer RNA, 73 nt
Filed under: Rickettsiales bacterium
Lineage: Bacteria; Pseudomonadati; Pseudomonadota; Alphaproteobacteria; Rickettsiales
Description: tRNA-Pro
Rfam family: tRNA
About the family: Transfer RNA (tRNA) molecules are approximately 80 nucleotides in length. Their secondary structure includes four short double-helical elements and three loops (D, anti-codon, and T loops).
Source: RNAcentral
CGGAGCGUAGCUCAAUUGGUAGAGCGUUCGGUUUGGGACCGAGAGGUUGCAGGUUCAAGUCCUGUCGCUCCGA